RNAcentral lists this ribosomal RNA (822 nucleotides) under uncultured bacterium. Its description in RNAcentral is "bacterial SSU rRNA". It matches the Rfam family "Bacterial small subunit ribosomal RNA", at positions 38 to 916 of the family's 1533-position model. The record is from RNAcentral.
GGAAGGGGGGGCUGCUACACAUGCAGUCUAACUGUGAAGCAGUGACGUACGGGUGAGUAACAUGUAAGUUAUCUGCCUUUGGGUGAGGGAUAACAAAUGGAAACGUUUGCUAAUACCUCGUAAACUCGUUAGAGUGAAAGAAUUUUGCCCGAAGAUGAGCUUGCACCCGAUUAGUUAGUUGGUGAGGUAAAGGCUUACCAAGACGAUGAUCGGUAGCUGGUAUGCGAAUGCGAACAGCCACACUGGGACUGAGACACGGAACAGACUCCUACGGGAGGCAGCAGUGGGGAAUAUUUGGCAAUGGGUGAAAGCCUGACCAAGCAAUGCCGCGUGGAGGAAGAAGGCCCUUGGGUUGUAAACUCCUUUUCUCAAUGAAGAAGUUCUGACGGUAUUUGAGGAAUAAGCAUCGGCUAAUUCUGUGCCAGCAGCCGCGGUAAUACAGGAGAUGCAAGCGUUAUCCGGAAUUAUUGGGCGUAAAGCAUCUGUAGAUGGUUUAAAAAGUUUGGUGUUAAAUAUCAGAGCUCAACUUUGAAAUGGCAUCGAAAACUCUUAAACUUGAGUGCAAUAGGGGCAAGGGGAAUUUUCAGUGUAGCGGUGAAAUGCGUAGAGAUUGAAAAGAACACCAAUGGCGAAAGCACCUUGCUAGGUUGAUACUGACAUUGAGAGAUGAAAGCUAGGGGAGCAAAAAGGAUUAGAUACCCUUGUAGUCCUAGCAGUAAACGAUGGAUACUAAGUGGUGUGUUUUGCACUGCUGUAGCUAACGCGUUAAGUAUCCCGCCUGGGGAGUACGCUUGCAAAAGUGAAACUCAAAGGAAUUGACGG